This 497-nucleotide ribosomal RNA is filed under the name uncultured bacterium. Its description in RNAcentral is "partial 16S ribosomal RNA". It matches the Rfam family "Bacterial small subunit ribosomal RNA", at positions 28 to 507 of the family's 1533-position model. The record is from RNAcentral.
GAUGAACGCUGGCGGCGUGCCUAAUACAUGCAAGUCGAGCGAACAGACGAGGAGCUUGCUCCUCUUACGUUAGCGGCGGACGGGUGAGUAACACGUGGAUAACCUACCUAUAAGACUGGGAUAACUUCGGGAAACCGGAGCUAAUACCGGAUAAUAUAUUGAACCGCAUGGUUCAAUAGUGAAACACGGUUUUGCUGUCACUUAUAGACGGAUCCGCGCCUCAUUAGCUAGUUGGUAAGGUAACGGCUUACCAAGGCAACGAUGCGUAGCCGACCUGAAAGGGUGAUCGGCCACACUGGAAAUGAAGCACGGGCCAGACUCCUACGGGGAGCAGCAGUAGGGAAUCUUCCGCAAUGGGCGAAAGCCUGACGGAGCAACGCCGCGUGAGUGAUGAAGGUCUUCGGAUCGUAAAACUCUGUUAUUAGGGAAGAACAAAUGUGUAAGUAACUAUGCACGUCUUGACGGUACCUAAUAAGAAAGCCACGGCUAACUACGUG